UACGGAGGGUGCAAGCGUUAUCCGGAUUCACUGGGUUUAAAGGGUGCGUAGGUGGGCUAGUAAGUCCGUGGUGAAAUCCCCGAGCUUAACUCGGGAACUGCCGUGGAUACUAUUAGUCUUGAAUAUCGUGGAGGUAAGCGGAAUAUGUCAUGUAGCGGUGAAGUGCUUAGAUAUGACAUAGAACACCGAUAGCGGAGGCAGCUUACUACGCGAUUAUUGACACUGAGGCACGAAAGCGUGGGGAUCAAACAGG
RNAcentral lists this ribosomal RNA (253 nucleotides) under uncultured bacterium. Its description in RNAcentral is "partial 16S ribosomal RNA". It matches the Rfam family "Bacterial small subunit ribosomal RNA", at positions 524 to 776 of the family's 1533-position model. The record is from RNAcentral.